This 253-nucleotide ribosomal RNA is filed under the name uncultured bacterium. Its description in RNAcentral is "partial 16S ribosomal RNA". It matches the Rfam family "Bacterial small subunit ribosomal RNA", at positions 524 to 776 of the family's 1533-position model. The record is from RNAcentral.
UACGUAGGGGGCGAGCGUUGUCCGAAAUUACUGGGCGUAAAGAGCGCGUAGGCGGGUCUUUAAGUGAGUGGUGAAAGGUUCGGGCUCAACCCGGACACUGCCUUUCAUGCUGGGGACCUUGAGUGCGGGAGGGGCGAGUGGAAUGGUCGGUGUAGCGGUGAAAUGCGUAGAUAUCGAUCGGAACACCCAUGGCGAAGGCAGCUCGCUGGCCUGCAACUGACGCUGAGGCGCGAAAGCUGGGGGAGCAAACAGG